GACGAACGCUGGCGGCGUGCUUAACACAUGCAAGUCGAGCGGUAAGGCCCUUUCGGGGGUACACGAGCGGCGAACGGGUGAGUAACACGUGGGUGACCUGCCCUCAGCUCUGGGAUAAGCCUGGGAAACUGGGUCUAAUACUGGAUAUGACUCCACGGUGCAUGUCGUGGGGUGGAAAGCCUUGUGCGGCUGAGGAUGGGCCCGCGGCCUAUCAGCUUGUUGGUGGGGGA
This 230-nucleotide ribosomal RNA is filed under the name uncultured bacterium. RNAcentral's name for it is "partial 16S ribosomal RNA". It matches the Rfam family "Bacterial small subunit ribosomal RNA", at positions 28 to 259 of the family's 1533-position model. The record is from RNAcentral.